GAUGAACGCUGGCGGCGUGCCUAAUACAUGCAAGUCGAGCGAACGGACGAGAAGCUUGCUUUUCUGAUGUUAGCGGCGGACGGGUGAGUAACACGUGGAUAACCUACCUAUAAGACUGGGAUAACUUCGGGAAACCGGAGCUAAUACCGGAUAAUAUUUUGAAUCGCAUGGUUCAAAAGUGAAAGACGGUCUUGCUGUCACUUAUAGAUGGAUCCGCGCUGCAUUAGCUAGUUGGUAAGGUAACGGCUUACCAAGGCAACGAUGCAUAGCCGACCUGAGAGGGUGAUCGGCCACACUGGAACUGAGACACGGUCCAGACUCCUACGGGAGGCAGCAGUAGGGAAUCUUCCGCAAUGGGCGAAAGCCUGACGGAGCAACGCCGCGUGAGUGAUGAAGGUCUUCGGAUCGUAAAACUCUGUUAUUAGGGAAGAACAUAUGUGUAAGUAACUGUGCACAUCUUGACGGUACCUAAUCAGAAAGCCACGGCUAACUACGUG
RNAcentral lists this ribosomal RNA (497 nucleotides) under uncultured bacterium. RNAcentral describes it as "partial 16S ribosomal RNA". It matches the Rfam family "Bacterial small subunit ribosomal RNA", at positions 28 to 507 of the family's 1533-position model. The record is from RNAcentral.